RNAcentral lists this long non-coding RNA (366 nucleotides) under Equus asinus (donkey). RNAcentral's name for it is "lncRNA (ENSEASG00005034080.1)". The record is from RNAcentral. Lineage: Eukaryota; Metazoa; Chordata; Mammalia; Perissodactyla; Equidae.
CGGGGAGCCAGAGACCCAGGACUGCCCAUCAGCAUCACCAGCCCAGCCCGGGCCAGUGCCUGGCCCACAGCAGGCGCUCCCCGGGCAGCUGCGGACUGACUGACUGCUGUACGCACCCAGCACGUGGUAAUACCCAGCUCAACCAGUGAGAAGUGAGCCAGCGGGUGAGCGGGAGAGAGGAUUGCUUUAGCAAUUCGGGGUCUUUUGUUGCCUCCCAGGGGCAUCUUCAUCUUCAUAGAGAACCCUUGGAAAUCUUCCAGAUGCGAAUGAAUGGACUGAUAAUGUGUGUUCAUCCACGAUGUGGAGGCUGCUGUCCCAGGCACAGCUGCAGCAACGGCCGGUGUGUUGGGGCGGCCGGGAUAUCGA